AACGCAUAUUGCGCCCUUUGGUAUUCCGAGGGGCAUGCCUGUUCGAGCGUUAUUUACAUUCUCAAGCAUUGCUUGGUAUUGGAGGCCGCCCCGGCGGGGCACCCCCGAAACAUAGCGGCGACGUAGCCGGACUCUCUGGCGUAGUGACUUUUUCUAUCGCCCCGGAGUUGUCGGUCGUGCGUCAGCCGGACAACACCCUCUUUCUGAAAAUCGACCUCGGAUCAGGCAGGACUACCCGCUGAACUUAA
This 248-nucleotide unclassified non-coding RNA is filed under the name uncultured fungus. Its description in RNAcentral is "sequence contains ITS2". Lineage: Eukaryota; Fungi. The record is from RNAcentral.